Molecule: ribosomal RNA, 253 nt
Filed under: uncultured bacterium
Lineage: Bacteria
Description: partial 16S ribosomal RNA
Rfam family: Bacterial small subunit ribosomal RNA
Source: RNAcentral
UACGUAGGGGGCUAGCGUUGUCCGGAAUCAUUGGGCGUAAAGCGCGUGUAGGCGGUCCGGUAAGUCCGCUGUGAAAGUCGGGGGCUCAACCCUCGAAUGCCGGUGGAUACUGUCGGGCUAGAGUGCGGAAGAGGCGAGUGGAAUUCCUGGUGUAGCGGUGAAAUGCGUAGAUAUCGGGAGGAACACCAGUGGCGAAGGCGGCUUCCUGGCCUGUUCUUGACGCUGAGGCGCGAAAGCUAGGGGAGCAAACGGG